GUCCACGCCAUAAACGAUGUCAACUAGGUGUUGGGUGGGUAAAACCAUUUAGUACCGGAGCUAACGCGUGAAGUUGACCGCCUGGGGAGUACGGCCGCAAGGUUAAAACUCAAAGGAAUUGACGGGGACCCGCACAAGCGGUGGAUGAUGUGGAUUAAUUCGAUGCAACGCGAAAAACCUUACCUACCCUUGACAUGUCCAGGAGCCCUUAGAGAUUUGGGUGUGCCCGAAAGGGAGCUAGAACACAGGUGCUGCAUGGCUGUCGU
RNAcentral lists this ribosomal RNA (266 nucleotides) under uncultured bacterium. RNAcentral describes it as "partial 16S ribosomal RNA". It matches the Rfam family "Bacterial small subunit ribosomal RNA", at positions 793 to 1055 of the family's 1533-position model. The record is from RNAcentral.